This 164-nucleotide small nuclear RNA is filed under the name Salvator merianae (Argentine black and white tegu). RNAcentral describes it as "U1 spliceosomal RNA (ENSSMRG00000012174.1)". It matches the Rfam family "U1 spliceosomal RNA". From Rfam's summary of the family: U1 is a small nuclear RNA (snRNA) component of the spliceosome (involved in pre-mRNA splicing). Its 5' end forms complementary base pairs with the 5' splice junction, thus defining the 5' donor site of an intron. The record is from Rfam by way of RNAcentral. Lineage: Eukaryota; Metazoa; Chordata; Lepidosauria; Squamata; Teiidae.
AUACUUACCUAGCAAGGGAGACAGCAUGAUCAUGAAGGUGGUUUUCCCAGGGUGAGGCUCAUCCAUUGUACUCUGAGUGUGCUGACCCCUGCGAUUUCCCCAAAUGCAGGAAACUCGACUGCAUAAUUUGUGGUAGUGGAGGAUUGCUUUUAUGCUUUCCCCUA